AAUAAUGAAGUAAAAAAAUACAUUUAGUUUCGACCUAAAAUAAGAAUAUCAAUUUCCAUUAUUU
This 64-nucleotide transfer RNA is filed under the name Cicadettana calliope. RNAcentral's name for it is "tRNA-Arg". Lineage: Eukaryota; Metazoa; Arthropoda; Insecta; Hemiptera; Cicadidae. The record is from RNAcentral.